Molecule: small RNA, 289 nt
Filed under: Phascolarctos cinereus (koala)
Lineage: Eukaryota; Metazoa; Chordata; Mammalia; Diprotodontia; Phascolarctidae
Description: Metazoan signal recognition particle RNA (ENSPCIG00000009258.2)
Source: RNAcentral
CUUGUAUGGGAGGGGCACAUGUUUGUCAUCUCUGCUGCUAGGGGAGACUGAGGCUAGAGGGUCACUUGAGUUUGGGAGUUCAGCCAGAGCUGAUCAGGUGCUUGUAUUAAGUCUGGCAUCAAUAUGGUGACUUCUGGAAACAGAGGGCCAGCAGGCUGCCUAAGAAGGGACAAGCCCACCCAGGCAAGAGAUGGAGCAGGUUGAAGCUACAGGCUAAUCAAUAAUGGGGUUGGGCCUGUGAGAGGUCCUUCUAAUUUCUGCCUGCAUAAGAUAAGGAGACCUAGUCUCA